Molecule: ribosomal RNA, 384 nt
Filed under: uncultured bacterium
Lineage: Bacteria
Description: bacterial SSU rRNA
Rfam family: Bacterial small subunit ribosomal RNA
Source: RNAcentral
GACGAACGCUGGCGGCGUGCUUAACACAUGCAAGUCGAGCGGUAAGGCCCUUUCGGGGGUACACGAGCGGCGAACGGGUGAGUAACACGUGGGUGACCUGCCCUCAGCUCUGGGAUAAGCCUGGGAAACUGGGUCUAAUACCGGAUAUGACUCCAUGACGCAUGUUGUGGGGUGGAAAGCCUUGUGCGGCUAGGGAUGGGCCCGCGGCCUAUCAGCUUGUUGGUGGGGUGAUGGCCACCAAGGCGACGACGGGUAGCCGGCCUGAGAGGGCGACCGGCCACACUGGGACUGAGACACGGCCCAGACUCCUACGGGAGGCAGCAGUGGGAAUCUGCGCAAUGGGCAAAGCCUGACGCAGCGACGCCGCGUGAGGGAUGACGGCCU